UUUAUUAAAAACAUGGCCUAUAGAUUAUAAUUUUAGGUCUAACCUGCCCAAUGAAAGUUUCAAUGGCUGCAGUAUUUUAACUGUACAAAGGUAGCAUAAUCAUUUGUUUUUUAAUUGAAAGCUUGUAUGAAAGGUUGGAUGAGGGAAUUUCUGUCUCUAGAAAAAUUAAUUAGAAUUUUAUUUUUAAGUUAAAAAGCUUAAAUAAUAAUAGAAGACGAGAAGACCCUAUAGAGUUUUAUAUUUGUAGAAAUAUUUUGAAUUAAAGGAAUAGAAGUUUUUUAUUUUUAUAAGUAUUUUGUUGGGGUGAUGAAAAAAUUUAAUUAACUUUUUUUUUAUUAAAUCAUUGAUUUGUGUAUGUAUGAUCCUUUUUUGGAAAGAUUAUAAGAUAAAAUUACCUUAGGGAUAACAGCGUAAUUUUUUCUAGAGUUCUUAUCGAAGAAAAAGGUUGCGACCUCGAUGUUGGAUUAAAAUUAAUAACUGGUGAAGGUGCUAGUGAAUUAGGUCUGUUCGACCUUUAAAAUUUUACAUGAUCUGAGUUUAAACCGGUGUGAGCC
Molecule: ribosomal RNA, 554 nt
Filed under: Trigonopterus sp. 152 AR-2020
Lineage: Eukaryota; Metazoa; Arthropoda; Insecta; Coleoptera; Curculionidae
Description: partial large subunit ribosomal RNA
Rfam family: Bacterial large subunit ribosomal RNA
Source: RNAcentral